CACGUAGGGCGCAAGCGUUGUCCGGAAUUAUUGGGCGUAAAGAGCUCGUAGGCGGUCUGUUGCGUCCGCUGUGAAAACUCGGGGCUUAACCCCGAGCCUGCAGUGGAUACGGGCAGACUAGAGGUGAGUAGGGGAGAAUGGAAUUCCCGGUGUAGCGGUGAAAUGCGCAGAUAUCGGGAGGAACACCGGUGGCGAAGGCGGUUCUCUGGGCCUUACCUGACGCUGAGGAGCGAAAGCGUGGGGAGCGAACAGG
RNAcentral lists this ribosomal RNA (253 nucleotides) under uncultured bacterium. RNAcentral's name for it is "partial 16S ribosomal RNA". It matches the Rfam family "Bacterial small subunit ribosomal RNA", at positions 524 to 776 of the family's 1533-position model. The record is from RNAcentral.